UACGUAGGUGGCAAGCGUUGUCCGGAUUUAUUGGGUUUAAAGGGUGCGUAGGUGGUCAAUUAAGUCAGUGCUGAAAUAUCCCGGCUUAACCGGGAGGGUGGCAUUGAUACUGAUUGACUUGAGUAGAGUUGAGGUAGGCGGAAUUGACGGUGUAGCGGUGAAAUGCUUAGAUAUCGUCAAGAACACCGAUAGCGAGGGCAGCUUACUAAGCUCAAACUGACACUGACGCACGAAAGUGUGGGGAUCAAACAGG
RNAcentral lists this ribosomal RNA (253 nucleotides) under uncultured bacterium. Its description in RNAcentral is "partial 16S ribosomal RNA". It matches the Rfam family "Bacterial small subunit ribosomal RNA", at positions 524 to 776 of the family's 1533-position model. The record is from RNAcentral.